GGCAUUUGUCGUAAUUCCACGAAAUUUCAGAUUUCAGCUGAAAAAAGUAUUAGUGCUCCAGCAGAACAGAGCAAUGAACAGUUUCAUCCUAAUCAGGCCGAAGGCCCACUGUUACAGAAUAAUGAUAUGUCGUACAAUCAACAGCCAUACAACCCGGCUUAUCAGAAUCCCUACCCCAAUCAAGGCCCUCCGCCACCAGGAUUCAAUACAGGCGACGGACAAAAUCAAAAUCAAGGUGGAGCCUAUUUCUCACCACCGCCACCAAUGCACGGAGCUAUGUUCAAUCAGAUGGAAAAUGGGCAACACGGUGGUGGAGACAAUCCAGAUGGAAAGUAUUCAUUCCAAUUUUCUGAUAAGACUGUCCGCGCUGCUUUCGUUCGAAAAGUUUUCAGUUUGGUCUUUAUCAUGCUUUGCAUCGUUGCCGCAGUCACUGUUAUCCCGUGGGUUCAUGAUGAUACGAUGAGAAUGGUCCGCAGAAAUUCGGCUCUCUACCUUGGGUCCUAUGUAAUCUUCUUCGUUACCUACUUGUCAUUGGUUUGCUGUGAAGGAGUUCGUCGUAAAUUCCCAGUUAAUUUGAUUGUCACUGGAAUCUUCACUCUAGCAACUUCAGUUAUGACCAUGGUCAUUUCAGCUCAUCAUGAUGCUAACGUGGUUCUUCUGGCAUUGGCGAUCUGCAUUGGAUGUACGUUCUCCAUUGUCAUUGUCGCCUCUCAGACGAAAUUCGAUUUGACUGCCCACAUGGGAUAUAUCUUAAUCAUCUCAAUGUGCUUCAUGUUCUUCGGACUUGUUGUCGUGAUCUGCUCAAUGUUCUUCAAGAUCAAGUUCUUGAUGAUGGUAUAUGCUCUCGGUGGUGCUCUUAUCAUGAUGCUCUACCUCUUCCUCGACGUUCAAAUGCUGAUGGGAGGAAAGAAAUACGAAAUCUCACCAGAAGAAUAUAUUUUUGCUUCUGUUCAAAUCUUCAUUGACAUUGUCCAGAUGUUCUGGUUCCUUCUCAGUUUGUUCGGAUCCAGUAAGAAAUUCAUUGGGAAACUUUGAAAUUUAGCUAGACAUUCUCAAUAAACCCUCUGGUUAUUUCCAGAAACUGAAUCUUCUAUUUCUCUAUCACAUUUCGUGUGGUAAGGCGGUUGAGUUUGUGGUAUUUCAAAAGGCACGUUUACUUUUUAGAUUUUUUUGUGUCAUUGUUCACUAACGCUGUAUUAGUAACAUUGUGCCAAUUUAAAUGAAUGUGUAUUAUCGAAAAAAUACGAUCGCACAAAUUUCUCAUAAUUUUUUUUUGAUCUACGCUGUUGACUAGGCUCCUCCCCCAAUCUUGUUGCCGCUGUUAUUUUGUU
Molecule: RNA transcript, 1331 nt
Organism: Caenorhabditis elegans
Lineage: Eukaryota; Metazoa; Nematoda; Chromadorea; Rhabditida; Rhabditidae
Gene: xbx-6
Gene name: Non-coding transcript of protein-coding gene xbx-6
Exons: 9
Source: RefSeq, marked reviewed